GGCUAAUAAUAUCUCGACCUAGAGAUGGACACUUCAUAUGAGAUAUGGUAUGCUCUCUAAUUUGCUUCACAAAUCUCAUUCUAAGGAUAUACCCUAGAAAUUGCUGCAUGUGUUUUGAAUUAGAUGCUGUUAAAAUUUGUUACUAGCACACAUAUGAGAUAUGGAAAGAGGCAGGUUGUCCAACUUAUGUGAAAAGAGUUGAUGUACAUAAGUUUUAUGCU
Molecule: long non-coding RNA, 221 nt
Filed under: Elaeis guineensis (African oil palm)
Lineage: Eukaryota; Viridiplantae; Streptophyta; Magnoliopsida; Arecales; Arecaceae
Description: long non-coding RNA (EGUI_LNC000350)
Source: RNAcentral